Molecule: ribosomal RNA, 279 nt
Filed under: uncultured bacterium
Lineage: Bacteria
Description: partial 16S ribosomal RNA
Rfam family: Bacterial small subunit ribosomal RNA
Source: RNAcentral
UGCCAGCAGCCGCGGUAAUACGGAGGGUGCAAGCGUUGUUCGGAAUUAUUGGGCGUAAAGAGCAUGUAGGCGGACUGUUAAGUCUGAUGUGAAAGCCCGGGGCUCAACCCCGGAAGUGCAUUGGAUACUGGCGAACUUGAGUACGGGAGAGGAAAGUGGAAUUCCGAGUGUAGGGGUGAAAUCCGUAGAUAUUCGGAGGAACACCAGUGGCGAAGGCGGCUCACUGGCUCGAUACUGACGCUGAGGUGCGAAAGCGGGGGGAGCAAACAGGAUUAGAUA